Non-coding RNA from Chelonoidis abingdonii (Abingdon island giant tortoise), 100 nucleotides. NCBI's taxonomy places the organism in Eukaryota, Metazoa, Chordata, Testudines, Testudinidae. The record is from RefSeq and is a predicted model, not a curated record.
UCUGGGUUUUUUCAGAGCCCUGGUCUACUCUGGGGAGGGAUCAAUCUAAGAUACGCAACUUCAGCUACGUGAAUAACAUAGCGGAAGUAGACAUACUUAG